AUUGAACGCUGGCGGCAGGCCUAACACAUGCAAGUCGAACGGUAACAGGAAGAAGCUUGCUUCUUUGCUGACGAGUGGCGGACGGGUGAGUAAUGUCUGGGAAACUGCCUGAUGGAGGGGGAUAACUACUGGAAACGGUAGCUAAUACCGCAUAACGUCGCAAGACCAAAGAGGGGGACCUUCGGGCCUCUUGCCAUCGGAUGUGCCCAGAUGGGAUUAGCUAGUAGGUGGGGUAACGGCUCACCUAGGCGACGAUCCCUAGCUGGUCUGAGAGGAUGACCAGCCACACUGGAACUGAGACACGGUCCAGACUCCUACGGGAGGCAGCAGUGGGGAAUUUUGCACAAUGGGCGCAAGCCUGAUGCAGCCAUGCCGCGUGUAUGAAGAAGGCCUUCGGGUUGUAAAGUACUUUCAGCGGGGAGGAAGGGAGUAAAGUUAAUACCUUUGCUCAUUGACGUUACCCGCAGAAGAAGCACCGGCUAACUCCGUG
This 490-nucleotide ribosomal RNA is filed under the name uncultured bacterium. Its description in RNAcentral is "partial 16S ribosomal RNA". It matches the Rfam family "Bacterial small subunit ribosomal RNA", at positions 30 to 507 of the family's 1533-position model. The record is from RNAcentral.